CUCUAUUUACAAAACUGUCUUGUGCUUUGAAAACAAGGUGGGGGCAGGGGAGACGCCAAACCCAGCUCUUCACUUGGGACUUUUCCAGCUUUCCUGGAACCACAAUUUGGAGAAAAUAGGAAUUGAGCUAAAUAUGCCUUUUUUGAGAACAGCGAAAUUUUGGGGACUUUAAACUUGCAAAAUCUCUGAAUGUCCAGCUGACAGGUGGACGCAGCCCAUAACCCCAAAGCUAUUCUUUAAGUUUAUUAACUUAGAAAACCUGCCGUGGACGAUGUUUUGGUGUGUCAAUAUUCUAAAGUAUCCUAAACAUAUGUAGCUAUUAAGACUAAAAAGCAAAUGCUCUGAACAGAUCCUACGGAUUGAAGCUCAUUUGAGAAAUAAUGUCCAUAAUACUAUUGACUCAUCACUUUUAGUACUCUAACCACACAGGGAAAAAAAUCGUAAUGUCCUGUCCUGGCAAACUUUGGGAGCAUUGAGCUGUUAUCAUAGAAUGAAGCUUGAGUUGGAGGGUUUAAUUUAAAAGGAAAAAAAAAAACCCACACUCGAUUUUUAUCAGAAUACUCUAAACGUUCUCCAUCAGUAAUGUUGCGCCUGAGGUGAUACCCUUGAAGAUGCUGGAGGUAGCAGUGUUAAUGAAAUACCCCUUGGCAUUAAACAGCAUUUCUAGAAUCCUGAUUGUAGUACUAGAAAAGAAAGUGAAAUUUGUAACAGCACAAUAAACAAGGGGAGCUGCAGAAAAGAACCUGCUUGUUCUGUGAGGAAGAUCGCUUCCAGUUAAACAAAGAAAUUUAAGGUCGUCUGCUUUUCAUGAAAAUCGCAUACAUAUGGCCUUUGAAAUUUGUCACUGAAGAUGGCUUUGCUCUAAGCUUUUCUUGGAGCGGACAGGGAUGGAGAAGAAAGCAGUCAUUGUGGGGAUGUGGAGCCGCAAGAGAGAGAGGCUGCUUUAUUCAGGAGAAAUUCAGAGUUAUACCUCAGAAAAGCUACAAAUGAAAGUAAACAUCAAGCAUAAAAAGAAAUAAAAAGGAAAGAAGAAGAAAGAAAAGAAAGAAAGAAAAAGAAAGAAAGAAGGAAAGAAAAGAAAAUGAAAGAGGAGUGAAAAGGCCCUUACAUUCCCAAGGUUCCUGUGACCUAGAAAUGAACUUGUCCUAAGAAUCAGGUCGAAGGCAUUUAUUCAAAGGUUCAGAAGGACUUCAGCUUUCACUAUUCUUAGAAAGAUAAAGUUAGUAUUACACAUGUCAUUAUCAUGUUGGGAUCAAAAUGGAGGACUCACUGGCAUGAAAUGUUUAAAGCAGGAGGUGAAGAUAGAUUUAUGUAAUGCUAAUUUCAGGCAGCUUUCAAGGUUAAUGCUUGUCCACAUUUGCAAUGGCCAACUCCCCUCACCCCAGGACCACGUGGUCAGCUCUGUACUGCUUGCCACUGGCAUCAACCACUUCUGUGACGUGUUGGCUGCAAUUCAACAGUGAAGCAUGCAUAUUCUCUACUUGAGCAUUUGAGGAGCCUGCAGGCAGUGAGGUAUGAUGCAAAUGGAAAAAAAGAAAAACUGUGACCUUGAAACUCACCAUCAUAAGCCAUCUAGGUGUCCUGCUCGGGCUUCCAAAGUGGGCGCUCAGACAGGCCACCCAAACUGCUGACAUCCUUCAUUGACCCUUUCAGAGCAAUUGUGAACCUAAUGACGUUGUUUUUGGGUUUUGGAACUGAACUUUACAGGGAUUGGUUCCAAUCCUGGGUGGUGCUGAGAAAACUCAAGUCUCACCAGAAUUUGGCUGAGACCACCAGACGUGUUUCAUGUGAGGGCCUUUUCCCAUAAUCUGACCAGAAUGGUUUAUGAAUGUUCUGGAGAGCAAAACACAGGUCCCAAAGGCUGAGAAGGGUCACGCCCUGCUCAGCUAGGAGACCACACAGCCAUCCUCCCUCCCUUCUGAGUAUUUAUAGUUAGAAAACCACACCACCCCUCUCGUUCGGAAGCUGAGGGUGAAAGUGGAAAAAGCCAGAAACACGAAUUGCAUCCUACAGCUGAGAAAGCCCCUCUCUUGGAAAAGCUAGAAAAUAAAUAAAUAAAGGGGGAAAUCCAAAUGGGAUUGCUCUUCAAACACACAAAUGAUCUUAUGUUAACAGUUGGGAUUAAACAGCUGUCUCGUGGUUAUGUGAUCAUAACAGAUGCUGUGUGCAAACGUUUCCUGCUAGCUUUGUUUUGGUUAUUGCUGUUUGUGCAGUUCAAUGGGCUGAAUUCAGCUUAAGGGAUACAGAUUUUUAUUAUCCUUCUGUGCUGCACGGGCAGCUUCAUCAUCUCUUUAAGAGGAAAGGGGGCGUGUGUGAGGGAUAGAUGGAGGGAAAUGGAGGGUGGGCUCUCCCAUGUCACAUUGGGAAUGAUGUCAUAUUGCUGAAAUUCCAGCACACUCGUCUUAGGAUCACUUUGCCGUUGAAGUGGUCCCCCGUUCUAUUCUGUUUUGUUUUGGUUUUUUUUUCUCACCUAGGCUGUCCUCAGGUCUAGAGCAGUUUAGGCAUCUGGAACAGAAUUUAUAGAACAUAGAGAACGGUUCUUUUGAUGACUAGCAGCUUACAAUGUGGUAAUGAUCCCUGUUUUGUCUCACUUCCUCCCAUGCCCUCCAGAGGUAAAAUGUACUAGCUCAUUUUUAUUUUCCCUGGAAAUUUCAUUUCACCCUGGGAGCAGGGACCGCCCUAUAUAUGUAAGCCAAGCGACAUGGUGAACUGUCACGAUUUUUUGGAAGUUCAAAUCUGGAAGCCAUUUUGGACUGAAUUAUAUUACUUGUUCAAACCAAAAUAACCUCUUGGCUCAAAUUCCUCAGAGAAUUGCCAUGAUUCAUACACACUUUGCCUACCAACAGAUUUAAUUUCCAUUGCUUAUAUUUUCCAAACAUUUUUUAAUACGAUGUAAAUGGCAGAAGUAAUGUUUCUGGGUUCAGAAAAGGACCUGGCUGCCCUGAGGAGGAGGUAGAGAGAACAAUGUGGGCCGUAUUUAGCCGGUCUGGCAUGGGCUCUGCCUGCGCAUCGUGCACUGCCCCCCCCAAAGACCUCAAUUUUCAUCUAUAAAAAGCUGAUCUUCAUGCACAGAGGCAUGCAUUCACUGGCCAGUAGCUCAUCUCUACUUUUAAAAAUUUUGGAUAGGGGAAGGAGGGGGCAGCUUCCAUUGCUUAAUACCUUACCUUAUGAAUUAUGUCUUUGAGUAAAGCAUCCUACCAGGGCUUAGUCACUCCCCUCUGACUCUUUACUGAAGAGGAGGGUUUAACAAUAUAUAAAUAUAUCUAAGGAACCAAACUUAAAUUGUAAUCUUAUUCUCACUCAAAAAAGGGAUUUAAUGAUUACUCGUCAGAGUUCCCCAGCUCACAGAAUGAAAUUACGCCUUCUCUGAUAAGUUGCCAAAGCAGUAACAUUUCUAUGAUGCUUUAAGUAAAUUUCAAAGCAACUUCCUAUACAUUCAAUGCUUGAUCCUACUCGUAGCUCUUGGAGGUAUUUUCCUGGUCAUACAGAAAAGCAAGCCAAGGUCCAUCCUAUAAGGAGAGUACCAUAUCUACGUCAUCUAAGUUUAUUCAAGUAGUAAGUGGUGAAGCCCACACUGGUACCCACAUUGGGGAUCUGUGACUAUGGUUCAGAGACUGAGGACAGUAUUUGCCCAGGGAUCUCUGUUGUUGUUGUUGUUUUCAUCAGGUGAGUGGGUGGGAGUGUGCUGCUCUACAUCAAGCUGCCUCUGUUGCCUCUGCAUCCUAUAGGCAAACAUCAGCAUUCAUCUUCUAGAUGGUCUGGGUGCUCUUGGAAUCCUGGAAAAUUUGUUUUUGGAGAGCCUGGAAGGACUGAAGUUCAGCUCCCUUUGUGGAGCCAGCCUGUAUCUCAAAACAAAAGAUCCUUCCAAAGAAGAUAUACAAAUGGCCAGUGAGCACAUGAAAAAAUUCUCAACAUCCCUAAUCAUUAGGGAGAUGCAAACCAAAACUACUGUAAGGCACUAGCUCACACUCAUUAGAAUGACUUCUAAAAAAAAAAAAAGACAGAAAAUAACAAGUGUUGGUGAGGAUAUGGAGAAACUGGGACACUUGUGCACUGUUGGUAGGAAUGUGAAAUGGCACAGCCACUGUGGAAAACAUUACGGCAAUUUCUCAAAAAAAUAAAAAUAGAAUUAACAUAUGAUCUAGAAAUUCCACUGCUGGGUACAUCAUCAAAAAAUUGAAAACAGGGUCUUGAAGAGAUAUUUGUACACCCAUGUUCAUAGCAGCGUUAUUCACAAUAGCUAAAACAUGGGAGCAACCCAAGUAUCCAUCGAUGGAUGAAUGGAUAAACAAAAUGUGCUCUAUGUGUAUAUACAAUGACAUGUUAUUCAGCCUUAAAGAGGAAGCACAUUCUGACUUAUCCUACAGCAAGGAUGAACUUUGAGGACGUUAUGCUAAGUGAAAUAAGCCAGUGACAAGAAGAUAAAUACUGAAGGAGUCCACUUAUAUGAGGUACUUAGAGUAGUCAAAUGCAUAGAGACAGAAAGUAGAAUGGUGGUUGCCAGGGGUUGUGCAGGAGAAAAUGGGGAGUUGUUUAACAGGUACAGGGUUUAAGGAUGAGAUGAUGAUAAAGUUCUGGAGAUGGAUGGCGGUGAUGGUUGCACAACAAUAUGAAUGUACUUAAUACCCCGGAACUGAACACUUAAAAAUUUUAUGUUGUAUGUAUUUUACCACAAUAAAAAAAAAAUUAGAACAAAACAAAAGGUCCACUAUAGUCACCUAAGACCUGGAAGGUUAGGUCUCCACAAACUGCUUCCCUUGACAUCUUGCUCUUGCCCCUUCUCCACUGUGUCUGAACAUAGAACACACUCAGCUUUUCACAUUGUGCUGUACCCAGAUACUACACUGUGUGCAGAUUAAAUAGCUGGGGAGAAGUGCAAGUGAAGCCAUCAGAGAGGUUUGAUUUAUACCCUUUCCUUGAUGAUUACAAGUAUCUCUAGGAUCUUCAUUCUUUUCAGGCUUGAUACCAAUUAAAAUGCAAAUCUUUCCAGGAGCGAAUGUUUUAAGCAUUUUCAUCUUUGAAUGAAUUUCAGAUCCUUUUAUCUUCUACCUCUCUUUCUAAAACAAAGAUGCCUUUUAUUAUGAAGGUAAUAGGGAAAAAGGGUUAAUAGCUAAUACAUACCAAGAGCUCUUACAAGCUGUCAAGAUGGAGACAAACAGCACAACAGAAGAAUGAAUGUGGGUUGUAAGAAGACAGCAGAGGAGCCAAUCCAGCUGGCCCCCGAUCAAAUAAAAACAUGGUCAAAGUCACUUAGUGGCAAGAAAAUGAAAAUAACAAAAUAGUAAGGUAUCUAUCACUUUAUAUUCAUCAAGCUGGCAAAUUUUUUUUUAAAAAGCUGUAUCACCUAUUGAUGGCAGGAAUGUGCAGAAAAGGGUGCAUUAAUACAUAGUUGUAAAAAUGUGAGGACUUUUUGCAAUUUGGAAAAACAAUCUGAUGGCAUAUUUUAAAUUCAAAGUAUAUCUAUCCUUCCACUCAGCAGUCCCAUUCUUAGGAAUCCAUCCCAAGAAAUAAGAGUCUUCCUCUUUUAGGAAAGUCAUGGGACAUAUAUCUGAGGAUGUUUGCUAUAGCACUCAAAGUGACAAAAAAUAAUAAUAAAAAAAAAAGAUUCAAGCUCAGUACAUCCAUGACAUGGAUUAUAAUGCAACCACGAAAAGAAAAAAAAUUUCAGCCAUAUCAGAUGACUCAGUUGGAAUUCCAUGAAGAAUUGCUGAAUAGGAAAACCCUUGUGUAGGAAGUAUAGCUCAUUUUAGAAAAACAAGUAAACACACACAUGCACGCACACACACACACAUGCACACACAGACAUGUACUCUCUAUAUCCACCCACAGAGGAUCCUAGGAUUAUAUUUGAAUAAGAAUAUAUGUGCUUGAAGACAUAUGGAAGGUUUAUUACUAGGUAAUUCAUAUUAUUUCUCUGUGGAGAAGUAGGCUAAUGUGAACAGAGAAAAGAGAAGAAAGUGAGUUCACAAGCUAAAAAGAAAAAGAAAAAAUAAUGGCACCAAAAUGAAAUGUGUUUGCUGCAUUGCUUUUUUUUGUAUAUGUGGGUAUACAUAUAAAGAAACUUCUAUGGAAAGAUAAAGCCAAAGUAUGACAUUUUUCAUAACAAAAAACCUGGAAAACAUGAGGCUUCUUGAGAGAGACUAUCUGCCACUCUUAAGAUUAUUAUAAUAAUUUUCUCAGUUAAAAAUAAAGAUCAGUGACUCAGGUCAUCCACUGUGAGUUUUGAUGAUGCAGAAAACUCACUUGGCAAUUUCCUUAGGAAUUAAACAGCUAUCCUUUUGCUUUUCUGUGUGUCUCUGGUUCUUGGAAGCAGAGGCAGUGAGGAGGGGAUAGUUCAGAGUUCAACAUUGUGUCCUAAAAGUGUAAAUACUGAUGUCAUUUGAAACAAGCGCUGAAACAGAACAUCAUCAGUUGUUGUUUUAAGUAGUAAUCAAACACAAGUAACCAAGUUACAUCACACAACACUCAUAUCCUGGCUCCAGGAAGGAGUCUUACAGAGAAGUAGCUGAAGGCAGCAAUGCAGGACACACCUCUCAACACAUAAUCAUCCUCUAAACUGGUUUCCUAAUUUGCAUUUCUAAAAUUGGAAUACAGUUUGCAAAAGGGCAGAAAGGGCUGUUUAAUGCCAUGAAAUUCCCACUCCUGAUUUCUUAAUUUUGAUUUGUCUCUCAGUUGACCAGUACAUAAGUGUGAGUUUAUUUUCAAAUAUCAUGAUACAGGGGCCGGCCCAGUGGCAUAGUGGUUAAGUUCACAUGCUCCACUUUGCCAGUUCUCCAGGGUUCCUAGGUUUGGAUCCAGGGCACGGACCUACACACCACUCAUUAAGACAUGCUGUGGUGGCAUCCCACAUAGAAGAACUCGAAGGACUUACAAACAGGAUAUACAACUAUGUACCUGGGCUUUGGGGAGGAAAAAAAAAGAGGAAGAUUGGCAACAGAUGUUAGCCCAGGGCCAAUCUUCCUCACCAAAAAGCACACCUUUAAACAAAAUCAUGCUACAUGGAUGAUCAUUUUCAGAUUAUGUGAAAAUGUACCUAUGAAGCCUUUAUAUACUAGAAGAAACUUGAUUAGUGACAAUAUAGAUGAGUCACAGUCCAGUUCCCAUAGAAGUGAGAAGAAGCUUUUCCCUUAUCUUCAGCAUUUUCAGCAGAAAAAUCUGAGGUCAGCCCAUUUUGCUAUUUUAUAGGUAAUUUUUCCCUUUGCAUUCCUGUGUACUUAUAUGAUAUUUACUCUAAUAAUUUAAAUCUUUUCAGUGUAUUAAUUUUUUCAUUGAGGUUGCUUGUACUGCUAUGGAUCCAUUUGAUAUGCAUAUUCUAGCU
Long non-coding RNA from Equus caballus (horse), 7318 nucleotides. NCBI's taxonomy places the organism in Eukaryota, Metazoa, Chordata, Mammalia, Perissodactyla, Equidae. The record is from Ensembl.